RNAcentral lists this ribosomal RNA (497 nucleotides) under Leposternon polystegum (Bahia worm lizard). RNAcentral's name for it is "partial 16S ribosomal RNA". It matches the Rfam family "Bacterial large subunit ribosomal RNA", at positions 1857 to 2619 of the family's 2925-position model. Lineage: Eukaryota; Metazoa; Chordata; Lepidosauria; Squamata; Amphisbaenidae. The record is from RNAcentral.
GCCUGCCCAGUGAACAUAUUAAACGGCCGCGGUAUCCUAACCGUGCAAAGGUAGCGCAAUCACUUGUUCUUUAAAUAAGGACCUGUAUGAACGGCACCAUGAGGGUCAACUUGUCUCUCAUGAUAAGUCAAUGAAACUGAUCUUCCAGUACAAAAGCUGGAAUAAUCCCACAAGACGAGAAGACCCUGUGGAGCUUAAAACUUCAACUCACUAAAAUUGACCUUGCAGUUUUUAGUUGGGGCGACUUUGGAGACAAACCAAACCUCCAAACACCACCUUCCGGCCACAAGCCUAAAUCACACUAAACCCACGACCCAAUACACUUGAUCAAUGAACCAAGUUACCCCAGGGAUAACAGCGCAAUCUUCUCCUAGAGUCCCUAUCGAAAAGAAGGUUUACGACCUCGAUGUUGGAUCAGGAUAUCCUAAUAGUGCAGCCGCUAUUAACGGUUCGUUUGUUCAACGAUAAAAAUCCUACGUGAUCUGAGUUCAGACCGG